Molecule: ribosomal RNA, 750 nt
Filed under: bacterium
Lineage: Bacteria
Description: bacterial SSU rRNA
Rfam family: Bacterial small subunit ribosomal RNA
Source: RNAcentral
CGAGGCGCAUGCCUAUACAUGCAGUCGAGCGGAUUUAGAAAAGCUUGCUUUUCUAAAUUAGCGGCGGACGGGUGAGUAACACGUGGGCAACCUGCCUGUAAGACUGGGAUAACACCGGGAAACCGGUGCUAAUACCGGAUAAUCCUUUUCCUCACAUGAGGGGAAGCUGAAAGACGGUUUCGGCUGUCACUUACAGAUGGGCCCGCGGCGCAUUAGCUAGUUGGUGGGGUAACGGCCCACCAAGGCAACGAUGCGUAGCCGACCUGAGAGGGUGAUCGGCCACACUGGGACUGAGACACGGCCCAGACUCCUACGGGAGGCAGCAGUAGGGAAUCUUCCGCAAUGGACGAAAGUCUGACGGAGCAACGCCGCGUGAGCGAAGAAGGCCUUCGGGUCGUAAAGCUCUGUUGUCAGGGAAGAACAAGUACCGGAGUAACUGCCGGUACCUUGACGGUACCUGACCAGAAAGCCACGGCUAACUACGUGCCAGCAGCCGCGGUAAUACGUAGGUGGCAAGCGUUGUCCGGAAUUAUUGGGCGUAAAGCGCGCGCAGGCGGUCCUUUAAGUCUGAUGUGAAAGCCCACGGCUCAACCGUGGAGGGUCAUUGGAAACUGGGGGACUUGAGUGCAGAAGAGGAGAGCGGAAUUCCACGUGUAGCGGUGAAAUGCGUAGAGAUGUGGAGGAACACCAGUGGCGAAGGCGGCUCUCUGGUCUGUAACUGACGCUGAGGCGCGAAAGCGUGGGGAGCAA